Molecule: ribosomal RNA, 468 nt
Filed under: uncultured bacterium
Lineage: Bacteria
Description: partial 16S ribosomal RNA
Rfam family: Bacterial small subunit ribosomal RNA
Source: RNAcentral
GACGAACGCUGGCGGCGUGCUUAACACAUGCAAGUCGAACGGAAAGGCCCUGCUUUUGUGGGGUGCUCGAGUGGCGAACGGGUGAGUAACACGUGAGUAACCUGCCCUUGACUUUGGGAUAACUUCAGGAAACUGGGGCUAAUACCGGAUAGGAGCUCCUGCUGCAUGGUGGGGGUUGGAAAGUUUCGGUGGUUGGGGAUGGAAUCGCGGCUUAUCAGCUUGUUGGUGGGGUAGUGGCUUACCAAGGCUUUGACGGGUAGCCGGCCUGGGAGGGUGACCGGCCACAUUGGGACUGGGAUAAGGCCCAGACUCCUACGGGAGGCAGCAGUGGAGAAUAUUGCACAAUGGGCGGAAGCCUGAUGCAGCAACGCCGCGUGCGGGAUGACGGCCAUCGGGUUGUAAACCGCUUUCGCCUGUGACGAAGCGUGAGUGACGGUAAUGGGUAAAGAAGCACCGGCUAACUACGUG